This 367-nucleotide unclassified non-coding RNA is filed under the name Acacia blayana. RNAcentral describes it as "partial external transcribed spacer". Lineage: Eukaryota; Viridiplantae; Streptophyta; Magnoliopsida; Fabales; Fabaceae. The record is from RNAcentral.
GUGCCCGUCCACCGAACGGUCUGCAGGCGAUCCGCGUCGGUCGCGCUGGGUGGUAUGGUUCCCCAGAGGCCGGUUCUUGUGCUGCCUACCCCCUUCAGGGGAAGAGUUCCAAACUCGAUGUAAGCCUCCAUCCGGCGCCCUCCAAAGGGCGCGGGAGGACAACGGAGCACCCCCCGCGUUCCACCGAGCCUCCUCGGUCGCGUGGCCCGNGGGGACGUGCGAUGCUCUCGGACCCAGCGAACGCCGUGGGCGAGGACUCACGUCCCGGUCCCAAGUGAAGCAACGGUAUAACGCACGACGGCCGCUCCCGCCCCCCGACCGCCCCGGCGGCGCGGGGGCGAAGGCGCGGCGUCGCUGAGGAAAUGCU